CUUGACACCCAGAGAAUUUAGCAGAGAUGCUUUAGUGCCUUCGGGAACUCUGAGACAGGUGCUGCAUGGCUGUCGUCAGCUCGUGUUGUGAAAUUGUUGGGUUAAGUCCCGCAACGAGCGCAACCCUUAUCCUUUGUUGCCAGCACGUAAUGGUGGGAACUCAAAGGAGACUGCCGGUGAUAAACCGGAGGAAGGUGGGGAUGACGUCAAGUCAUCAUGGCCCUUACGAGUAGGGCUACACACGUGCUACAAUGGCGUAUACAAAGAGAAGCGACCUCGCGAGAGCAAGCGGACCUCAUAAAGUGCGUCGUAGUCCGGAUUGGAGUCUGCAACUCGACUCCAUGAAGUCGGAAUCGCUAGUAAUCGUAAAUCAGAAUGUUACGGUGAAUACGUUCCCGGGCCUUGUACACACCGCCCGUCACACCAUGGGAGUGGGUUGCAAAAGAAGUAGAUAGCUUAACCUUCGGGAGGGCGUUUACCACUUUGUGAUUCAUGACUGGGGUGAAGUCGUAACAAGGUAGGCGUAGUGCU
RNAcentral lists this ribosomal RNA (531 nucleotides) under uncultured bacterium. RNAcentral's name for it is "bacterial SSU rRNA". It matches the Rfam family "Bacterial small subunit ribosomal RNA", at positions 980 to 1509 of the family's 1533-position model. The record is from RNAcentral.